This 631-nucleotide ribosomal RNA is filed under the name Streptomyces atratus. RNAcentral describes it as "bacterial SSU rRNA". It matches the Rfam family "Bacterial small subunit ribosomal RNA", at positions 217 to 858 of the family's 1533-position model. Lineage: Bacteria; Bacillati; Actinomycetota; Actinomycetes; Kitasatosporales; Streptomycetaceae. The record is from RNAcentral.
GGUGAAGGAUGAGCCCGCGGCCUAUCAGCUUGUUGGUGGGGUGAUGGCCUACCAAGGCGACGACGGGUAGCCGGCCUGAGAGGGCGACCGGCCACACUGGGACUGAGACACGGCCCAGACUCCUACGGGAGGCAGCAGUGGGGAAUAUUGCACAAUGGGCGAAAGCCUGAUGCAGCGACGCCGCGUGAGGGAUGACGGCCUUCGGGUUGUAAACCUCUUUCAGCAGGGAAGAAGCGAGAGUGACGGUACCUGCAGAAGAAGCGCCGGCUAACUACGUGCCAGCAGCCGCGGUAAUACGUAGGGCGCAAGCGUUGUCCGGAAUUAUUGGGCGUAAAGAGCUCGUAGGCGGCUUGUUGCGUCGGUUGUGAAAGCCCGGGGCUUAACCCCGGGUCUGCAGUCGAUACGGGCAGGCUAGAGUGUGGUAGGGGAGAUCGGAAUUCCUGGUGUAGCGGUGAAAUGCGCAGAUAUCAGGAGGAACACCGGUGGCGAAGGCGGAUCUCUGGGCCAUUACUGACGCUGAGGAGCGAAAGCGUGGGGAGCGAACAGGAUUAGAUACCCUGGUAGUCCACGCCGUAAACGUUGGGAACUAGGUGUUGGCGACAUUCCACGUCGUCGGUGCCGCAGCUAACGC